UACGAAGGGGGCUAGCGUUGCUCGGAAUCACUGGGCGUAAAGCGCACGUAGGCGGAUUGCUAAGUCAGGGGUGAAAUCCCGGAGCUCAACUCCGGAACUGCCUUUGAUACUGGCGAUCUUGAGUCCGGGAGAGGUGAGUGGAACUGCGAGUGUAGAGGUGAAAUUCGUAGAUAUUCGCAAGAACACCAGUGGCGAAGGCGGCUCACUGGCCCGGUACUGACGCUGAGGCACGAAAGCGUGGGGAGCAAACAGG
Molecule: ribosomal RNA, 253 nt
Filed under: uncultured bacterium
Lineage: Bacteria
Description: partial 16S ribosomal RNA
Rfam family: Bacterial small subunit ribosomal RNA
Source: RNAcentral